Molecule: ribosomal RNA, 497 nt
Filed under: uncultured bacterium
Lineage: Bacteria
Description: partial 16S ribosomal RNA
Rfam family: Bacterial small subunit ribosomal RNA
Source: RNAcentral
GAUGAACGCUGGCGGCGUGCCUAAUACAUGCCAGUCGAGCGAACAGAUGAGGAGCUUGCUCCUCUGACGUUAGCGGCGGACGGGUGAGUAACACGUGGAUAACCUACCUAUAAGACUGGGAUAACUUCGGGAAACCGGAGCUAAUACCGGAUAAUAUAUUGAACCGCAUGGUUCAAUAGUGAAAGACGGUUUUGCUGUCACUUAUAGAUGGAUCCGCGCCGCAUUAGCUAGUUGGUAAGGUAACGGCUCACCAAGGCAACGAUGCGUAGCCGACCUGAGAGGGUGAUCGGCCACACUGGAACUGAGACACGGUCCAGACUCCUACGGGAGGCAGCAGUAGGGAAUCUUCCGCAAUGGGCGAAAGCCUGACGGAGCAACGCCGCGUGAGUGAUGUAGGUCUUCGGAUCGUAAAACUCUGUUAUUAGGGAAGAACAAAUGUGUAAGUAACUAUGCACGUCUUGACGGUACCUAAUCAGAAAGCCACGGCUAACUACGUG